GGGUUGUGAGGUUAAGCGACUAAGCGUACACGGUGGAUGCCCUGGCAGUCAGAGGCGAUGAAGGACGUGCUAAUCUGCGAUAAGCGUCGGUAAGGUGAUAUGAACCGUUAUAACCGGCGAUUUCCGAAUGGGGAAACCCAGUGUGAUUCGUCACACUAUCAUUAACUGAAUCCAUAGGUUAAUGAGGCGAACCGGGGGAACUGAAACAUCUAAGUACCCCGAGGAAAAGAAAUCAACCGAGAUUC
This 245-nucleotide ribosomal RNA is filed under the name Escherichia coli. RNAcentral describes it as "partial 23S ribosomal RNA". It matches the Rfam family "Bacterial large subunit ribosomal RNA", at positions 1 to 237 of the family's 2925-position model. Lineage: Bacteria; Pseudomonadati; Pseudomonadota; Gammaproteobacteria; Enterobacterales; Enterobacteriaceae. The record is from RNAcentral.